This is a small nuclear RNA of Rhinopithecus bieti (black snub-nosed monkey), 122 nucleotides long. Lineage: Eukaryota; Metazoa; Chordata; Mammalia; Primates; Cercopithecidae. The record is from Ensembl.
GUGUCAUAUGAAAGGAGAGAAGGUUAGCACUCCCUUGACAAUGCUGAAAGGGGCCCUCAGCCUGACAACAUGCAUAUGGUUAAGAUGUUGCCACCUACUUCAUGACAAUGCCUUAAAGUUAA